UGCUGACUGCGCCAGAAUUCAAAGGGGAGCUGCCGGUGAAGGUUUCUUUCUGUUUAGAAGAUCACCGCGCCGUCGAAACUGGUGCAAGGUCUUUCCACCAGUGGAUGAAACUACCUAUGGUGAUAGAAGGCUUGUGGCAACGUUGACUCCUGCCUUUAUAACUUCGCUGGCGCGCACAAUGUAGCUGAUCGACAAGUGGCGUUGUUGCAGCGCGGUUGUCACAUUUUCUCCUUUUUUAUUAGGUAGGGCUCUGCUAAUAAACGCCUUUCUAAAUAAAUGUUGGUGCUGAGAUAACGGA
Molecule: long non-coding RNA, 298 nt
Organism: Rhipicephalus microplus (southern cattle tick)
Lineage: Eukaryota; Metazoa; Arthropoda; Arachnida; Ixodida; Ixodidae
Source: RefSeq, a predicted model, not a curated record